CGUUUCCUUCGCCAGAUACGCCCGCCCCGCUCCAACCCUCUUCUCCUCCUCACGUACGGCACCUCCUUUCUCCUCCCUCUCCCUCUCUCUCUCAGACCCACUGGCGGCGGAGACUGGAGGCAGAACACUGCACGCGCCGGCCGGCGAGGAGGAGCUGCACUGUCGCCGGCGCACCAACUGCGUCUACUGCCUCGCCUCCCCGUUGACCUACAAGAAGGUAUAUUCCCACAUUGAACUGAAUUAUUGCUAUAUUCGGUUGAUUCAGACAUAUUGUAUCUUCAAUGGCUUUCACUGCUGGGCAAAAUCAAGCGAUGGAAGGCCUUGUGGUUGUCGUUCCCAUGGCUGUGCCGUUCACGUUUAUGCAGGGUUUAAAGUUUGAUGUAGGAUGAGCACACAAGUUUGAUGUUUGCAGUUACAGAUUUUUGUCAAAGCCCGCUGAAACGAAGUUUAGUUCAGCAGACCAUGUAUGUUGGAAGAAAGCAAAUUUCUUGCCUUCUGAAUCCUCCGUAGCCAUCAUAUUUUAUUUCAGACCGAAUUGUCCCAGCUCAGUGUAUCUCAGCGAAGUAGCGGGUUCAUGCAAGGCCUGGCCGACGGCAACGACUUUAGGGGCUGCCGUGAUUUGCAUACUUCAUCUAGGUAAAUUGUGCUAGCUUUCAGAUUAUUCAUUUUCGUUUUACCCUGUCAAAGAUCUUCUCAGAUUAGUUAACCAAGCUAUGUAAUGAUGGUGUUGUGAUUCCGAGGGCUCCGUUGGAGGAUCAGCUUUGGUUCAGAGGCAGGUUUUGGGCAUACCGCAGCACAAGCAGAGGCAUAUCUCAGUCGAUGCUACUGCAGUUGAUGAUGCCCUGAAGCUUCCUUCAGUAACUGGUAUCACCUGACGUCGGUGUGGUUUUGUGUUCAGAGAAGAUGAGCUGUUGUAUUCUUCUUUCAUAUAGUUGUUGCAGGUUCUUCCAGAUCUAAAUCCAUAGACAAAGCACUGAUUGUUUGCUCUCUUGGGAGUUGUUAUAAUUUGCACAGCUAUUUUUUAAGAUUCAUUUUGCUUACAUUUAUUUAGUGAAGCUCCUGCAAAAGUCAAUAUUCAUUUAGUAUAGCACAAUUUUAUUGGCAGCUAUACAUGGCUUUGCAUCCCAAGUUAAAUGUUAAGUUUGCUUGACCUUGUGGCCUAGAUGGGUAUUGUUAAGCAUUUUUCCCUAAAAAGGGCAAUUCCUUAUUCAUAGGAUAUAUUGAAUUCACUGCACAUUGGUACAUCGCGUGAAAUCUGUAAUCAAAUGUUACUCGUAUUGCAUAUUGAUUGUUUUUGUGCAGGCUUGUACGCUUGAUUUUAUUUCAAGAUUUGUUGGUAUUCUUCUUAGAUGAGACAACCAGUGGAUCAAUGUGCCUGCUUUAAGUAUAGUGAUGAAACUUCACACUUCCCUGCAGACUCAGCGUGCCGCUGUUCUCUAAGGUCGUUGAGUGCUGAGAACAGGCAAUAUAAUUAGGCUUUUAACGAGAAGUUGGAGGAGAUAAAAACUUUCAGGAAGUGUUUAGGCGAGUUCCAUGCCGAAAAUAAUGUUAUGUGAGCAGAGAGUGCAGGCUUGUGCUCUUCUGUUGAAGAGCUUGAGCAUGAGAGAUUGAAUUAACACAUAAGUCAUGAGAGCAUAUCUUUAGACGAGGAGAGGUGACUGGUCAAAGAAAUUAAGACCCUUGAAAAAACCAGACCGAGGGUCAGUUCCAAUGCUGCUAAGCAAGCUAAAAUGGAAGAUAUAGUGGUUGAGAGAGAUGCCAUACAGGAUCAGGUGAAAAUCAUCAUACAUGGAGUAAAGGAGGGAGAAGCAGCCAUGUCUAAGAUUAAGGUCCUGGACGAUGAGGCGAUGGGCGUGGAGAGCUGCUACGAGCUCGCGCAGGCGGCAUACGUCAACCUCGCGCUGCACACGCUCAAGCACCUGGCGCCCGUCGUCAAUGGGCUCCUCGUCCAUGAUUAGCUGGACAACAUGAACCUCGAGGAGGUUGUGAAGGGGAACAUCUGUGACGCCGUUCUUUAGGUCUUUGGGAGUUUGCUAGCAGUCCUGGUCAGACUUGGACCAGGGACUAGCGUCCUGGAUGCCUUGGCACGCUCUGCUCCACCGGUGUUGCAAGCCCAGGAGCUCUGUCAUUGCAUUAAAGGAGAGGGAAAAACUGUACAUUUUAGAGCUUACAAGGGGAGCAGAAGGUAACCCACUAACAACGAGAGACAGUAGGCAAGAAAAAACAGCGGCAGAUUACACUCUGAAAGCCUCCCUGAAUAGACUAAUGUCAUCAAUCACCAGCAUGUAAAUUUGAUGAGGCAACAACAGCUUGUGUUGGAA
Molecule: non-coding RNA, 2321 nt
Organism: Triticum urartu
Lineage: Eukaryota; Viridiplantae; Streptophyta; Magnoliopsida; Poales; Poaceae
Source: RefSeq, a predicted model, not a curated record